This 2925-nucleotide ribosomal RNA is filed under the name Escherichia coli. RNAcentral's name for it is "bacterial LSU rRNA". It matches the Rfam family "Bacterial large subunit ribosomal RNA". Lineage: Bacteria; Pseudomonadati; Pseudomonadota; Gammaproteobacteria; Enterobacterales; Enterobacteriaceae. The record is from RNAcentral.
GGGUUGUGAGGUUAAGCGACUAAGCGUACACGGUGGAUGCCCUGGCAGUCAGAGGCGAUGAAGGACGUGCUAAUCUGCGAUAAGCGUCGGUAAGGUGAUAUGAACCGUUAUAACCGGCGAUUUCCGAAUGGGGAAACCCAGUGUGAUUCGUCACACUAUCAUUAACUGAAUCCAUAGGUUAAUGAGGCGAACCGGGGGAACUGAAACAUCUAAGUACCCCGAGGAAAAGAAAUCAACCGAGAUUCCCCCAGUAGCGGCGAGCGAACGGGGAGCAGCCCAGAGCCUGAAUCAGUGUGUGUGUUAGUGGAAGCGUCUGGAAAGGCGCGCGAUACAGGGUGACAGCCCCGUACACAAAAAUGCACAUGCUGUGAGCUCGAUGAGUAGGGCGGGACACGUGGUAUCCUGUCUGAAUAUGGGGGGACCAUCCUCCAAGGCUAAAUACUCCUGACUGACCGAUAGUGAACCAGUACCGUGAGGGAAAGGCGAAAAGAACCCCGGCGAGGGGAGUGAAAAAGAACCUGAAACCGUGUACGUACAAGCAGUGGGAGCACGCUUAGGCGUGUGACUGCGUACCUUUUGUAUAAUGGGUCAGCGACUUAUAUUCUGUAGCAAGGUUAACCGAAUAGGGGAGCCGAAGGGAAACCGAGUCUUAACUGGGCGUUAAGUUGCAGGGUAUAGACCCGAAACCCGGUGAUCUAGCCAUGGGCAGGUUGAAGGUUGGGUAACACUAACUGGAGGACCGAACCGACUAAUGUUGAAAAAUUAGCGGAUGACUUGUGGCUGGGGGUGAAAGGCCAAUCAAACCGGGAGAUAGCUGGUUCUCCCCGAAAGCUAUUUAGGUAGCGCCUCGUGAAUUCAUCUCCGGGGGUAGAGCACUGUUUCGGCAAGGGGGUCAUCCCGACUUACCAACCCGAUGCAAACUGCGAAUACCGGAGAAUGUUAUCACGGGAGACACACGGCGGGUGCUAACGUCCGUCGUGAAGAGGGAAACAACCCAGACCGCCAGCUAAGGUCCCAAAGUCAUGGUUAAGUGGGAAACGAUGUGGGAAGGCCCAGACAGCCAGGAUGUUGGCUUAGAAGCAGCCAUCAUUUAAAGAAAGCGUAAUAGCUCACUGGUCGAGUCGGCCUGCGCGGAAGAUGUAACGGGGCUAAACCAUGCACCGAAGCUGCGGCAGCGACGCUUAUGCGUUGUUGGGUAGGGGAGCGUUCUGUAAGCCUGCGAAGGUGUGCUGUGAGGCAUGCUGGAGGUAUCAGAAGUGCGAAUGCUGACAUAAGUAACGAUAAAGCGGGUGAAAAGCCCGCUCGCCGGAAGACCAAGGGUUCCUGUCCAACGUUAAUCGGGGCAGGGUGAGUCGACCCCUAAGGCGAGGCCGAAAGGCGUAGUCGAUGGGAAACAGGUUAAUAUUCCUGUACUUGGUGUUACUGCGAAGGGGGGACGGAGAAGGCUAUGUUGGCCGGGCGACGGUUGUCCCGGUUUAAGCGUGUAGGCUGGUUUUCCAGGCAAAUCCGGAAAAUCAAGGCUGAGGCGUGAUGACGAGGCACUACGGUGCUGAAGCAACAAAUGCCCUGCUUCCAGGAAAAGCCUCUAAGCAUCAGGUAACAUCAAAUCGUACCCCAAACCGACACAGGUGGUCAGGUAGAGAAUACCAAGGCGCUUGAGAGAACUCGGGUGAAGGAACUAGGCAAAAUGGUGCCGUAACUUCGGGAGAAGGCACGCUGAUAUGUAGGUGAAGCGACUUGCUCGUGGAGCUGAAAUCAGUCGAAGAUACCAGCUGGCUGCAACUGUUUAUUAAAAACACAGCACUGUGCAAACACGAAAGUGGACGUAUACGGUGUGACGCCUGCCCGGUGCCGGAAGGUUAAUUGAUGGGGUCAGCGCAAGCGAAGCUCUUGAUCGAAGCCCCGGUAAACGGCGGCCGUAACUAUAACGGUCCUAAGGUAGCGAAAUUCCUUGUCGGGUAAGUUCCGACCUGCACGAAUGGCGUAAUGAUGGCCAGGCUGUCUCCACCCGAGACUCAGUGAAAUUGAACUCGCUGUGAAGAUGCAGUGUACCCGCGGCAAGACGGAAAGACCCCGUGAACCUUUACUAUAGCUUGACACUGAACAUUGAGCCUUGAUGUGUAGGAUAGGUGGGAGGCUUUGAAGUGUGGACGCCAGUCUGCAUGGAGCCGACCUUGAAAUACCACCCUUUAAUGUUUGAUGUUCUAACGUUGACCCGUAAUCCGGGUUGCGGACAGUGUCUGGUGGGUAGUUUGACUGGGGCGGUCUCCUCCUAAAGAGUAACGGAGGAGCACGAAGGUUGGCUAAUCCUGGUCGGACAUCAGGAGGUUAGUGCAAUGGCAUAAGCCAGCUUGACUGCGAGCGUGACGGCGCGAGCAGGUGCGAAAGCAGGUCAUAGUGAUCCGGUGGUUCUGAAUGGAAGGGCCAUCGCUCAACGGAUAAAAGGUACUCCGGGGAUAACAGGCUGAUACCGCCCAAGAGUUCAUAUCGACGGCGGUGUUUGGCACCUCGAUGUCGGCUCAUCACAUCCUGGGGCUGAAGUAGGUCCCAAGGGUAUGGCUGUUCGCCAUUUAAAGUGGUACGCGAGCUGGGUUUAGAACGUCGUGAGACAGUUCGGUCCCUAUCUGCCGUGGGCGCUGGAGAACUGAGGGGGGCUGCUCCUAGUACGAGAGGACCGGAGUGGACGCAUCACUGGUGUUCGGGUUGUCAUGCCAAUGGCACUGCCCGGUAGCUAAAUGCGGAAGAGAUAAGUGCUGAAAGCAUCUAAGCACGAAACUUGCCCCGAGAUGAGUUCUCCCUGACUCCUUGAGAGUCCUGAAGGAACGUUGAAGACGACGACGUUGAUAGGCCGGGUGUGUAAGCGCAGCGAUGCGUUGAGCUAACCGGUACUAAUGAACCGUGAGGCUUAACCUUACAACGCCGAAG